UACCUCGCAUCGCGAGCGGCCGCCAACGC
This 29-nucleotide small RNA is filed under the name Bombyx mori (domestic silkworm). RNAcentral's name for it is "ovarian small RNA-20858". The record is from RNAcentral. Lineage: Eukaryota; Metazoa; Arthropoda; Insecta; Lepidoptera; Bombycidae.